This 253-nucleotide ribosomal RNA is filed under the name uncultured bacterium. Its description in RNAcentral is "partial 16S ribosomal RNA". It matches the Rfam family "Bacterial small subunit ribosomal RNA", at positions 524 to 776 of the family's 1533-position model. The record is from RNAcentral.
UACGUAGGUGACAAGCGUUGUCCGGAUUUACUGGGCGUGAAGAGCGCGCAGGCGGUCGUUCAAGUCGAGUGUGAAAGCCCCCGGCUCAACUGGGGAGGGUCACUCGAUACUGAUCGACUCGAAGGCAGGAGAGGGAAGUGGAAUUCCCGGUGUAGUGGUGAAAUGCGUAGAUAUCGGGAGGAACACCAGUGGCGAAGGCGACUUCCUGGCCUGUUCUUGACGCUGAGGCGCGAAAGCUAGGGGAGCAAACGGG